GAGGAGGAGGGGGCAAAGAAAGGGGGGCAGAAAGGCUUGGUGCUUCUGAGGUCAGGAGAAGAUCCCUUUUCUAGUUGCCAACUUAGAGUUGAGGAUUUCAGUCCCCAGUGAAGAGGGAGGAGGCGAGAAUGAAAUCCUUGAGUGUUUCCCUAGUGGUCCUGUGGCUCCAGCUAAAUGGGGUGAGCAGCCAGCAGAAGGUGCAGCAGAGCCCAGAAUCUCUCAUUGUCCCAGAGGGAGCCAGGACCUCUCUCAACUGCACUUUCAGUGAUAGUGCUUCUCAGUAUUUCGCAUGGUACAGACAAGAUCCUGGGAAAGAACCCAAGGAGCUACUGUCCAUCUUCUCCACUGGUGAAAAGGAAGAAGGCAGAUUCACAAUUCACGUCAUUAAAGCCAGCCUACAUGUUUUCCUGCACAUCAGAGACUCCCAGCCGGAUGACUCUGCUCUCUACUUCUGUGCAUCUCUGGCCAUUGUGAAUAAAGCUGCGAAGAACAUAAUGGAACAAGUGCCCUUGUGGCAGGAGAGAACAUCCUUUGGAUAUUCCGGUGGUAUAGUUGUGUCUUAA
Rattus rattus (black rat) is the source of this 563-nucleotide non-coding RNA. The record is from the annotation of a RefSeq genome assembly. Lineage: Eukaryota; Metazoa; Chordata; Mammalia; Rodentia; Muridae.